This 492-nucleotide ribosomal RNA is filed under the name uncultured bacterium. Its description in RNAcentral is "partial 16S ribosomal RNA". It matches the Rfam family "Bacterial small subunit ribosomal RNA", at positions 28 to 507 of the family's 1533-position model. The record is from RNAcentral.
GAUGAACGCUAGCUACAGGCUUAACACAUGCAAGUCGAGGGGAAACGACAUCGAAAGCUUGCUUUUGAUGGGCGUCGAUCGGCGCACGGGUGAGUAACGCGUAUCCAACCUGCCCAUCACUUGGGGAUAACCUUGCGAAAGUAAGACUAAUACCCAAUGAUAUCUCUAGAAGACAUCUGAAAGAGAUUAAAGAUUUAUCGGUGAUGGAUGGGGAUGCGUCUGAUUAGCUUGUUGGCGGGGUAACGGCCCACCAAGGCAACGAUCAGUAGGGGUUCUGAGAGGAUGGUCCCCCACAUUGGAACUGAGACACGGUCCAAACUCCUACGGGAGGCAGCAGUGAGGAAUAUUGGUCAAUGGGCGAGAGCCUGAACCAGCCAAGUAGCGUGCAGGAAGACGGCCCUAUGGGUUGUAAACUGCUUUUAUAAGGGAAUAAAGUGAGAGUCGUGACUCUUUUUGUAUGUACCUUAUGAAUAAGGACCGGCUAAUUCCGUG